RNAcentral lists this ribosomal RNA (468 nucleotides) under uncultured bacterium. RNAcentral describes it as "partial 16S ribosomal RNA". It matches the Rfam family "Bacterial small subunit ribosomal RNA", at positions 28 to 507 of the family's 1533-position model. The record is from RNAcentral.
GACGAACGCUGGCGGCGUGCUUAACACAUGCAAGUCGAACGGAAAGGCCCUGCUUUUGUGGGGUUCUCGAGUGGCGAACGGGUGAGUAACACGUGAGUAUCCUGCCCUUGACUUUGUGAUAACUUCAGGAAACUGGGGCUAAUACCCGAUAGGAGCUCCUGCUGCAUGUGGGUCGUUGGAAAGUUUCGGCGGUUGUGGAUCGACUCGCGGCUUCUCAGCUUGUUGGUGGGGUAGUGGCUUACCAAGCCUUUGACGGCUAGCCGGCCUGGGAGGGUGAACGGCCACAUUGGGACUGCGGGACGGCCCAGACUGCUACGGGAGGCAGCAGUGGAGAGUAUUGCACAAUGGGCGGGAGCGUGAGGCAGCAACGCCGCGUGCGGGAUGACGGCUUACGGGUUGUAAACCGCUGUCGCCUGUGACGAAGCGUGAGUGACGGUAAUGGGUAAAGAAGCACCGGCUAACUACGUG